GGUAGUCCACGCCGUAAACGAUGUCGACUUGGAGGCUGUUCCCCUGAGGAGUGGCUUCCGGAGCUAACGCGUUAAGUCGACCGCCUGGGGAGUACGGCCGCAAGGUUAAAACUCAAAUGAAUUGACGGGGGCCCGCACAAGCGGUGGAGCAUGUGGUUUAAUUCGAUGCAACGCGAAGAACCUUACCUGGCCUUGACAUCCAGAGAACUUAGCAGAGAUGCUUCGGUGCCUUCGGGAACUCUGAGACAGGUGCUGCAUGGCUGUCGUCAGCUCGUGUUGUGAAAUGUUGGGUUAAGUCCCGCAACGAGCGCAACCCUUAUCCUUUGUUGCCAGCGGGUGAUGCCGGGAACUCAAAGGAGACUGCCGGUGACAAACCGGAGGAAGGUGGGGAUGACGUCAAGUCAUCAUGGCCCUUACGGCCUGGGCUACACACGUGCUACAAUUGUCGGUACAAAGGGUUGCCAAGCCGCGAGGUGGAGCUAAUCCCAUAAAACCGAUCGUAGUCCGGAUCGCAGUCUGCAACUCGACUGCGUGAAGUCGGAAUCGCUAGUAAUCGCGAAUCAGAAUGUCGCGGUGAAUACGUUCCCGGGCCUUGUACACACCGCCCGUCACACCAUGGGAGUGGGUUGCACCAGAAGUAGCUAGUCUAACCUUCGGGAGGACGGUUACCACGGUGUGAUUCAUGACUGGGGUGAAGUCGUAACAAGGUAACC
This 713-nucleotide ribosomal RNA is filed under the name uncultured bacterium. RNAcentral's name for it is "bacterial SSU rRNA". It matches the Rfam family "Bacterial small subunit ribosomal RNA", at positions 789 to 1501 of the family's 1533-position model. The record is from RNAcentral.